This 305-nucleotide ribosomal RNA is filed under the name uncultured bacterium. Its description in RNAcentral is "bacterial SSU rRNA". It matches the Rfam family "Bacterial small subunit ribosomal RNA", at positions 337 to 639 of the family's 1533-position model. The record is from RNAcentral.
GCCUACGGGGCGCAGCAGUGAGGAAUAUUGGUCAAUGGGCGGAAGCCUGAACCAGCCAAGUCGCGUGAGGGAAUAAGGCCCUACGGGUCGUAAACCUCUUUUGCCGGGGAGCAAGGGCGGGGACGUGUCCCGGCCCGGAGAGUACCCGGAGAAAAAGCAUCGGCUAACUCCGUGCCAGCAGCCGCGGUAAUACGGAGGAUGCGAGCGUUAUCCGGAUUUAUUGGGUUUAAAGGGUGCGUAGGCGGGCCUUUAAGUCAGCGGUAAAAAUUCGGGGCUCAACCACGUCCGGCCGUUGAAACUGGGGG